AAGAUACAAAAUUAAGCUUCUAACUUAAAAAAUAACAUAGUUAAUAUCUUU
RNAcentral lists this transfer RNA (51 nucleotides) under Scutigerella causeyae. RNAcentral's name for it is "tRNA-Ser". The record is from RNAcentral. Lineage: Eukaryota; Metazoa; Arthropoda; Symphyla; Scutigerellidae.